Molecule: long non-coding RNA, 950 nt
Filed under: Piliocolobus tephrosceles (Ugandan red Colobus)
Lineage: Eukaryota; Metazoa; Chordata; Mammalia; Primates; Cercopithecidae
Description: lncRNA (ENSPTEG00000011176.1)
Source: RNAcentral
UUUGAAUCUAUUUUGUUUUAUUCCAUUUUGUUUUAUUUUUACCUUUUUUUUAAUAACUGUUUAGGCGUUUGUACAUUCCGCAAAGUAAUAAAGUAACAAGUAGCCAAAACUUAAAAAUCGAAAUAACAAAUGAAAAAGGUUACAAUGUAACGAAUUACUUUUUUUAUGCAAAAAUAAACUGUCCUAUAACAUACACAGAUAUAGAAAAUGAGCUAAUUCUUACGCAAGUUGAUCAAUUAAAACAAGAAGACAAUGAUAAAACAAAAAUAAAUGCAAAUAAUAAUUUAAACAAUUUUAAUUUGUUAAAUGUUAAUAAUAAUAAUAAUGGUAAAUCCACAGGGUUUACUUAUCAAAAUAAACUCGGACGCUUUUUACUUUUAAUAAUUAUUAUAUAUUAUAUAUACAUAUAUAUAUGUAUUUUUUAAUAUAUAUAUAUAUAUAUAUUGACACAUUUUAUGUUUUAAAAAAAUUCAGCUGUUUUAUGUUAGUCAUGCAAGUUAUUAAAAUUAAUUUUGUUAUGUAUGUUUAUAUUUUUAACGCAAUUCUUCCGCUAGGCCAUUCGUUUCUUCGGUCUUUUUUUUUUUUUUUUUUUUUUUUUUUUUUUUUAUUUUUUUUUUUUUUUGUUCUUUUUACAUUUUUAAAAAUAUUUAUUCGUUUUUUAGUUAUAUUAUUUGUUUAAUGCCUGUUGCCACUGAAUAUGUUAUAAAAUGUGUAAGUGCUUUACUUUUUUUAAAAAAAAUUAAGUUUCUUCUUGGAACGUGUGUUCGUAUAAUUUAAGCACAUGUACUUAUAUGCACAUGUAUGUAUGUAAAGGUGUACAUGUUGUAUAUCUCUUUAUACACUAAUUUGAAUCAUUUUGUUUUUGUAUUAAUAAUGAUAUUUGACUUGUGUACAUAUCAAUUAAUUUAUCAAACCGGUCAACAUUUUUCUGAUAGUCUUUAAUUAAUAUU